UCUGGUUGAUCCUGCCUGAACUGAUGUGUUCAUUUCAAAGAUUAAGCCAUGCAUGUAUAAGUUUAAUCGUUUAUCGAGAAACCGCGAACGGCUCAUUACAAUGGCCAUGAUUUACUUGAUCUUGAUUAUCUAAUGGAUAACUGUGGAAAAGCUAGAGCUAAUACAUGCACUAAAGCUUUGUCCUUACGGAAAAGCGCAUUUAUUAGAACAAAACCACGCGGCUUCGGCUGCUUCUUGUUGACUCAGAAUAACUAAGCUGACCGCAUGGCCUAGUGCCGGCGGCGUGUCUUUCAAGCGUCCACUUUAUCAACUUGACGGGAGCAUAAUCGACUCCCGUGGUGGUGACGGAUAACGGAGGAUCAGGGUUCGACUCCGGAGAAGGGGCCUGAGAAAUGGCCACUACGUCUAAGGAUGGCAGCAGGCGCGCAAAUUACCCACUCUCGGCUCGAGGAGGUAGUGACGAGAAAUAACGAGACUGUUCUCUUUGAGGCCGGUCAUCGGAAUGGGUACAAUUUAAACCCUUUAACGAGUAUCAAGCAGAGGGCAAGUCUGGUGCCAGCAGCCGCGGUAAUUCCAGCUCUGCAAAUACAUAGAAUUAUUGCUGCGGUUAGAAAGCUCAUAGUUGGAUUCGUAUCGAUACCUUGGAACCCUUCGGGUGUCUCUAGGUGUUAUCGAUUUAUCGUAAUGUUCGGUUUUGAGUCCUUAACAGGAUUCUUAACAGGCAUUGCAAGUUUACUUUGAACAAAUCAGAGUGCUUCAAACAGGCGUUUUCGCUUGAAUGAUCGUGCAUGGAAUAAUAGAAAAUGAUUUCGGUUCAGUUUUAUUGGUUUUACGGACUGAGAUAAUGGUUAACAGAGACAAACGGGGGCAUUUGUAUGGUCCCGUGAGAGGUGAAAUUCUUGGACCGUGGCCAGACAAACUACAGCGAAAGCAUUUGCCAAGAAUGUUUUUAUUAAUCAAGAACGAAAGUCAGAGGUUCGAAGGCGAUCAGAUACCGCCCUAGUUCUGACCGUAAACGAUGCCAACUAGCGAUCCGCCGAUGGAAAUUAUAUUGCCUUGGUGGGGAGCUUCCCGGAAACGAAAGUCUUCCGGUUCCGGGGGAAGUAUGGUUGCAAAGCUGAAACUUAAAGGAAUUGACGGAAGGGCACCACCAGGAGUGGAGCCUGCGGCUUAAUUUGACUCAACACGGGGAAACUCACCCGGCCCGGACACUGUGAGGAUUGACAGAUUGAUAGCUUUUUCAUGAUUCAGUGGAUGGUGGUGCAUGGCCGUUCUUAGUUCGUGGAGUGAUUUGUCUGGUUUAUUCCGAUAACGAGCGAGACUCUAACCUACUAAAUAGUUGGUACAUACUCUUAGUGUAUACAGCUUCUUAGAGGGAUUUGCGGCGUUCAGCCGAAAGAAAUUGAGCAAUAACAGGUCUGUGAUGCCCUUAGAUGUCCGGGGCUGCACGCGCGCUACACUGGCAAAAUCAACGUGCUUGUCCUACCCUGAAAGGGGCGGGUAAACCAUUGAAAAUUUGCCGUGAUUGGGAUCGGAAAUUGCAAUUAUUUUCCGUGAACGAGGAAUUCCAAGUAAGUGCGAGUCAUCAGCUCGCGUUGAUUACGUCCCUGCCCUUUGUACACACCGCCCGUCGCUGCCCGGGACUGAGCCAUUUCGAGAAAUUUGGGGACCGUUGAUUUAAUUUUUCUAAAUUACUUUGAUGGAAACCAAUUUAAUCGCAGUGGCUUGAACCGGGCAAAAGUCGUAACAAGGUAGCUGUAGGUGAACCUGCUGCUG
This 1776-nucleotide ribosomal RNA is filed under the name Meloidogyne arenaria. Its description in RNAcentral is "SSU rRNA". It matches the Rfam family "Eukaryotic small subunit ribosomal RNA". Lineage: Eukaryota; Metazoa; Nematoda; Chromadorea; Rhabditida; Meloidogynidae. The record is from RNAcentral.